GUCUAUGGCCAUGCCACCCUGAACAAGCCCGAUCCCGUCUGAUCUCAGAAGCUAAGCAGGGUCGGGCCUGGUUAGUACUUGGAUGGGAGACCAUCUAGGAAGACCAGGUGCUGUAGGUG
This 119-nucleotide ribosomal RNA is filed under the name Pteropus alecto (black flying fox). The record is from RNAcentral. Lineage: Eukaryota; Metazoa; Chordata; Mammalia; Chiroptera; Pteropodidae.